Long non-coding RNA from Solanum dulcamara, 427 nucleotides. RefSeq lists it as uncharacterized. NCBI's taxonomy places the organism in Eukaryota, Viridiplantae, Streptophyta, Magnoliopsida, Solanales, Solanaceae. The record is from RefSeq and is a predicted model, not a curated record. The transcript has 5 exons.
AAAUAGAGAGGCAGCCAUGGUUCUUGAAGUUUAAAGAUUCGUUUCAAGUGAUUUAAUAUGUUUUGGAAAGGUAUUUCGUGGUUCUAUAACUUUCAUUCAGACUCCAAAAUCCAGUUCCACUUGUAUCAGCUUGAAAAGUGGUGAUUAAGUGUAGAGGAGGUACUGCUCAAAUUUGGUUUUGGAAAUCCUACACGGACAGCUGACGUAAAUCCUGUUUCCCUCCAUUACCCCUUCGAAACGAAGCGACAAGGUAAAACAGUAAGCUGUCCAGAUUUCACAUUUUGGAUAGUUUUGGCGAGUUUGACAAGUUUAACGUAAGGUUCGGAAGACGAAGAGACGAGCAGGAUAAAGGGUAACUCCCAAAAGGUACAGAUACAGAUUUUGGGAGUCCGUCAGCUUAGGAUUCCAUGCAGCUCAGCUGGAAGAG